RNAcentral lists this transfer RNA (72 nucleotides) under Nippostrongylus brasiliensis. It matches the Rfam family "tRNA". From Rfam's summary of the family: Transfer RNA (tRNA) molecules are approximately 80 nucleotides in length. Their secondary structure includes four short double-helical elements and three loops (D, anti-codon, and T loops). Further hydrogen bonds mediate the characteristic L-shaped molecular structure. tRNAs have two regions of fundamental functional importance: the anti-codon, which is responsible for specific mRNA codon recognition, and the 3' end, to which the tRNAs corresponding amino acid is attached (by aminoacyl-tRNA synthetases). tRNAs cope with the degeneracy of the genetic code in two manners: having more than one tRNA (with a specific anti-codon) for a particular amino acid; and 'wobble' base-pairing, i.e. permitting non-standard base-pairing at the 3rd anti-codon position. Lineage: Eukaryota; Metazoa; Nematoda; Chromadorea; Rhabditida; Heligmosomidae. The record is from Rfam by way of RNAcentral.
UCAUCCGUGGUUCAGUAAUAGACUGCUCGCCUGCCACGCGGGCGGGUCCGGGUUCGUUUCCCGGCCGAUGCA